This 752-nucleotide ribosomal RNA is filed under the name Amanita hemibapha. Its description in RNAcentral is "eukaryotic LSU rRNA". It matches the Rfam family "Eukaryotic large subunit ribosomal RNA", at positions 128 to 867 of the family's 3401-position model. The record is from RNAcentral. Lineage: Eukaryota; Fungi; Basidiomycota; Agaricomycetes; Agaricales; Amanitaceae. RNAcentral also lists the same sequence under 1 other name.
GUUUCACUGCCCGAGUUGUAAUCUAGAGAAGUGUUGCUCACACUGGACCAUGUAUAAGUCUUCUGGAAUGAAGCGUCAUAGAGGGUGAGAAUCCCGUCUUUGACAUGGACUCCCCAGUGUAAUUGUAGCAUGCUCUCAAAGAGUCGAGUUGUUUGGGAAUGCAGCUCUAAAUGGGUGGUAACCUCCAUCUAAAGCUAAAUAUUGGCGAGAGACCGAUAGUGAACAAGUACCGUGAGGGAAAGAUGAAAAGAACUUUGGAAAGAGAGUUAAACAGUACGUGAAAUUGUUGAAAGGGAAACGCUUGAAGUCAGUCACAUUAGCCAGGGAUCAACUUUCUUAAGUGUACUUCCUGGCUGAUGGGCCAAUAUCAGCUUUGACUGUCAGAGAAGGGUAGAGGGAAUGUGGCACCCUUCUUGGGUGUGUUAUAGACCUCUGUUAUAUAUGGCAGUUGGGGCUGAGGAAUGCAGCGCGCCGCAAGGCCGGGGCUUUGACCACGUCCGCGCUUAGGAUAUUGGCAUAAUGGCUUUAAUCGACCCGUCUUGAAACACGGACCAAGGAGUCUAACAUGCCUGCGAGUAUUUGGGUGGAAAACCCGAGUGCAUAAUGAAAGUGAAAGUUGAGAUCCCUGUCAUGGGGUGCAUCGACGCCCGGACCUGAGCUUUUAAGCAAUGGCUCUGCGGUAUAGCAUGUAUGUUGGGACCCGAAAGAUGGUGAACUAUGCCUGAAUAGGGCGAAGCCAGAGGAAACUCUGG